UCUUCAGGAUGGUAGCAUGGUAUGUGGGCGUGUCUGAGGACAGCAGCAGCAGUGAACAGCAGUCAUGGAGAUGGAAGGUACUGCUGAGCCAGCCUUUGUGGAUGUGGACCAGGGCCUGACUUUAGCCUGUGUCGCCUUCCUCUGCUUACUGCUGAUGGCCAUGAUCAUCCGCUGUGCCAAGGUCAUAAUGGACCCAUAUAGUGCGAUUCCUACCUCCACAUGGGAGGAACAGCACUUGGAUGACUAACAAACUGAAACACAUAUAUACAUAUACAAGGGGUAG
This is a long non-coding RNA of Haplochromis burtoni (Burton's mouthbrooder), 283 nucleotides long. RefSeq annotates it as cortexin domain-containing 1. The transcript has a single exon. NCBI's taxonomy places the organism in Eukaryota, Metazoa, Chordata, Actinopteri, Cichliformes, Cichlidae. The record is from RefSeq and is a predicted model, not a curated record.